Long non-coding RNA from Cervus elaphus (red deer), 164 nucleotides. RefSeq lists it as uncharacterized. Lineage: Eukaryota; Metazoa; Chordata; Mammalia; Artiodactyla; Cervidae. The record is from RefSeq and is a predicted model, not a curated record. The transcript is spliced from 3 exons.
CUGCACCAAGUUACAUUCCCACCAACAGUCUUAUAGCAUUUAUUGUCUGUAGAUUUUUUUAAUGACAUCCAUUCUGAUGAAUGUGAGGUGAUAACCUCACUGUAGUGUUCGAUUUGCAUUUGUCUAAUAAUUAGUGAUAUUAGACAUCUUUUCAUGUGUUUGUU